UACAGAGGUCUCAAGCGUUGUUCGGAUUCAUUGGGCGUAAAGGGUGCGUAGGCGGCGGGGUAAGUCGGAUGUGAAAUCCCAGGGCUCAACCCUGGAACUGCAUUCGAUACUGCCUUGCUAGAGUGCUGGAGAGGAGACUGGAAUUUACGGUGUAGCAGUGAAAUGCGUAGAUAUCGUAAGGAAGACCAGUGGCGAAGGCGAGUCUCUGGACAGUUACUGACGCUGAGGCACGAAGGCCAGGGGAGCAAACGGG
RNAcentral lists this ribosomal RNA (253 nucleotides) under uncultured bacterium. RNAcentral's name for it is "partial 16S ribosomal RNA". It matches the Rfam family "Bacterial small subunit ribosomal RNA", at positions 524 to 776 of the family's 1533-position model. The record is from RNAcentral.